GAUGAACGCUGGCGGCGUGCCUAAUACAUGCAAGUCGAGCGAACGGACGAGAAUCUUGCUUCUCUGAUGUUAGCGACGGACGGGUGAGUAACACGUGGAUAACCUACCUAUAAGACUGGGAUAACUUCGGGCAACCGGAGCUAAUACCGGAUAAUAUUUUGAACCGCAUGGUUCAAUAGUGAAAGACUGUCUUGCUGUCACUUAUAGAGGUUUCCGCGCUGCAUUAGCUGGUUGGUAAGGUAACGGCUUACCACGUCAACGAGGCAUAGCCGACCUGAGAGGGGGAUCGGCCACACUGGAACUGGAAGACGGGCCAGACUCCGACGGGAGGCAGCAGCAGGGAAUCUCCGGCAAUGGGCGAAAGGAUGACGGAGCAACGCCGCGUAAGUUGUGAAGGUCUUCGGAUCGUAAAACACUGUGAUUAGGGAAGAACAAAUGCGUAAGUAACUGUGGAAGUAUUGACGGUACCUAAUGAGAAAGCCACGGCUAACUACGUG
Molecule: ribosomal RNA, 497 nt
Filed under: uncultured bacterium
Lineage: Bacteria
Description: partial 16S ribosomal RNA
Rfam family: Bacterial small subunit ribosomal RNA
Source: RNAcentral